UGCAUCCCAGUAGUUUGCCUUUUUUUCGCAGU
RNAcentral lists this non-coding RNA (32 nucleotides) under Mus musculus (house mouse). The record is from RNAcentral. Lineage: Eukaryota; Metazoa; Chordata; Mammalia; Rodentia; Muridae.